This 74-nucleotide transfer RNA is filed under the name Acetohalobium arabaticum DSM 5501. It matches the Rfam family "tRNA". From Rfam's summary of the family: Transfer RNA (tRNA) molecules are approximately 80 nucleotides in length. Their secondary structure includes four short double-helical elements and three loops (D, anti-codon, and T loops). Further hydrogen bonds mediate the characteristic L-shaped molecular structure. tRNAs have two regions of fundamental functional importance: the anti-codon, which is responsible for specific mRNA codon recognition, and the 3' end, to which the tRNAs corresponding amino acid is attached (by aminoacyl-tRNA synthetases). tRNAs cope with the degeneracy of the genetic code in two manners: having more than one tRNA (with a specific anti-codon) for a particular amino acid; and 'wobble' base-pairing, i.e. permitting non-standard base-pairing at the 3rd anti-codon position. The record is from Rfam by way of RNAcentral. Lineage: Bacteria; Bacillati; Bacillota; Clostridia; Halanaerobiales; Halobacteroidaceae.
ACGGGUGUAGCUCAAUUGGCUAGAGCACUGGACUCCAAAUCCAGGUGCUGCGGGUUCAAGUCCUGCCACCCGUG